Molecule: transfer RNA, 70 nt
Filed under: Periplaneta japonica
Lineage: Eukaryota; Metazoa; Arthropoda; Insecta; Blattodea; Blattidae
Description: tRNA-Cys
Source: RNAcentral
GGCCUUGUAUUCAUUAUUAUAUGAUAAUAGAAUGCAAUUCUAUAGGAGUAAUUAUAAAUUACUAAGGCUU